GUUGUUCCGCUCCUGAGGCAGCGGCGGAGGCUGCUGCUGGGGCGGCUGCUGCUGGGGCGGCUGCGGCGGCGGCUGCUGCGGGGGCUGCUGCUGCUGUUGCUGCACCGGGCGCGGCCGCGACACUCGCCUGGGUCUCCGGUUGGCGGCUCGGACGGAGUUCAUUUGCCGGGCUGAGGUGGCGGCGUUGGCGGAGGGACACACACACGCACACGCACAGCGAGCUUCGGGGCAGGAGAAAGGGGUGGGGAGAGUGGGAGAGGGGGGAGGAAGGAGAGGGGGCGAGGGGAAGGGGAGACGCUGAGGGCGGAGGGGGCGAGCGGGACCCCGAGUCCGGAGAAAGGCCCGGGUAGACAGACGGAGACCGAGCGAGGCCGGCCGGGAGGGCCUGACGCACGGGGAAGGCCGAAGCCGCCGGGCGGGGCGGCCGCGAGGGACGAAGGCAGAAAGACGGGCAGACCGAGAGAAAGAAAGAAAGGGCGUCCGCCGCUUGGGGAUCCCGAGGCGAAGCGCGGCGGCGGCGGCGGCGGCGGCUGAAGAGACAGAUCCCGGUCCCGCCGACUCGCGAGCGGCGUCUCCGGCAGCGGGGGGAGUGGGCGGGCGGGUGAGGAAGGGAGAAAAAGAGAGGGAGAGAAGGGAGGGAGGGAGCAGGGGGCGCCCGGCUCUUUUUUUUCCCUCUUCCUCCCCCCCACACCCCCUGAAAGAGAUUUCUGUGAGGAAUUUUUCUCUCUUUCUUCGGUCUCUUCUCUCUCCUCCCCCCCUUCUCUCCUCGGCGAAGGGGAAAUGAGUGUGAAGGGAGGAGAUAGGGGGAAAAAGAGGCGUCGUCCUUCCUCCUCCUUAAAGGAACCUUUCCUCCUCCUCCUCGUCAGCCCUGUCGCCGCUGCUUCUGCUGCUGCUCCGUGGCAGGAGGAGCCAUUGACACCGCCGGAGCCUCCACUCGCCCAGUCGGUCCCUCCCCGCCGCGGGGCUGGCCGGGGGCGCGGGGGAGGGCCGCGGGGCGGCGGGGGGAGGGGUGGGUGGGCGGGGAAAGGAGGGGCGGGGAUUCCGUCCAGGCGGCCAAUCUAAGGCGCCCGUACAACCUUCCGGCCAAUGGGGCCUCCGCUCUUAUCGCGAAGUCCCUUCAACGCCCUGUUUCCUCUCUCGGGUUUCCUCCCUCCCCCGCCUAGGAGGGGGAAAGAGGAAAGGGGGAGUGUGGCGGGGCGGGUGAUAAUGGGGAGGUAUCAGGGCAAAUAAUAGAGCAGGGGGUGGGCGAAGAGAGCGCCAGUGCGUAGCGACGAUUCUGGGAGAGGAGGUGCUCGGAGGAAAGGGCGGGGGUUGCUGAUGUAAUGGGGAGAAGUGAUUAAUCCUUCGGUUCGCCGUUUCAGCUUCCCCCCUACCCCAACCUUCACCCGAUUUUUUUGAGCUGAAAAAAAAGUGGAACGAGGGAGCCAAUCUUUGGUCCCACAAACUGCAAGGAAAAGAAAAACCCUCAACAGGAAUUACCUUUAUACCUGAUGCCCCCAACAUAAUCUCUCUCCAAGGGAAACGUGUUUUUAUUGCCUUGCGGCUGAAAAUGUAUUCUCGAUUCUCCCCCUUCUCUCUUUUGUUGUGCAUUUUUUGGAUGUGGUAAAACUGGCAGUUUAUCUGAUUAUCUGGUUUUCAGAACUUUGGGCGAUGUCUCUGAGUGUCAUCAGUUGCUCUCUAGGUUUGACAUAGAUAAUUAAGCAACUACAAAGCGUGAUAAAGCUUUUGAGAGGGAGGAAAAUGUAUUUUGGAAGGAGGGAGAGACGCAAAGAGGCGAGCCUGUGUGUUGAGUCCCAGACUUGGUGUGUGACUACAGGCAAAGUACUUCACCUUUCUAGAUGUCAGCCCCGCCCCCCUCACCUCCCAAGUUUAAAUAAGAACUUAUUUUAGACUACAUGAUCCUGUUUUCAAUUUUUAAGAGUUCUGUGAUUUUGAGAUGAUCUCUCUUUAGUCCAGAAAAAUAGAGAAACGUAGGUCUAUGUUUGUUUCUCAAAAAAAUAUUUGAGGAGGACAGCUGUUACAAAACAGCUGGAGAACUCCAAAUUUUUAUGGUGGUUAGCUAGGUGCAAAUGGGUACAAUUUUAGGUUUGUUCAAAUAAACAUAGGGGAAAAGUAAAAGUACAGGAAAAUUACGUUAUACAUAUAAGUGUGUCCAUCAUUUCUGAUUUUUCUAAAAAUUUACUUUUUUAUUUGACAAGUACUUUUUGGCUCCUUCCGUGUAUGCAUUAAUAUGUAUAUAAGGUGUUAUGGGAAAUACUAAUAAAAGGAAAAUAUUGGGCAUAAAGAGUUUGUAUUUUGGUGUGGCAGAGUGGAAGUUUUACUUACAUUAAUUCAGAUGUAAAGAAAAUGUAGCUUGUUUAUUUUCUGUAAUUUUAACUUCAAGUCC
RNAcentral lists this long non-coding RNA (2386 nucleotides) under Homo sapiens (human). RNAcentral describes it as "HSALNT0302379". Lineage: Eukaryota; Metazoa; Chordata; Mammalia; Primates; Hominidae. The record is from RNAcentral.